This is an RNA transcript of Pseudoliparis swirei, 2946 nucleotides long. It is a transcript of the gene named TAR DNA binding protein b, with no coding region annotated. The transcript is spliced from 6 exons. NCBI's taxonomy places the organism in Eukaryota, Metazoa, Chordata, Actinopteri, Perciformes, Liparidae. The record is from RefSeq and is a predicted model, not a curated record.
CCGUACAUGGUGGUUUCAUAUUUCUCCUCGUGGAACCAAAAAACCCACACUCUCCGCCGCAUUUCUAACAGUGCAUUUGAGACGACACGCGCGUUUUAUUGAAUUUGGAUAACUUCGCCAGCCACACGAGCAGGGGGAGGACAUUCGUUGUUUGGAUCAGUUCGCUUGGGACUACGCAGUUUCUAUUACGCGCCACAGUUGAACGGCAUUUGUCCAGCGCUACCGACUCAGAUCUCUGGUCCCGCCGAACAAAGGAACGGGGAGGCCGAUGCUCGCUUGUGAGCGCAAUUGGAACGACUAUUAUUUAUGAAAUAACUAGGUUUAACCCAUCCCGAAAUAUUUUGUUGUUAUAUUUUAACUUGAACCGUCUUUUCCUAAAGUAUAACGCACCGAGUAGCGUCAUCGGCUCCCGUUAGCCGUUAUUGUGGACAGCUAGAUUAGCUAGCAGAGUUGCUGACUUCUAACCGUAGCAUAGUUUUUGAGUCAAGCGAGAAGUUUUCUGUUUCGGGGCAAAAUGGCGGAAGUAUAUAUUCGAGUGGCGGAGGAGGAAAACGAGGAACCCAUGGAGAUACCGUCCGAGGACGACGGCACUAUUCUGCUUUCAACCGUGGCGGCUCAGUUUCCCGGGGCGUGUGGCCUACGCUUCAGGAGCCCCGUGUCUCAGUGCAUGCGAGGAGUGCGUCUUGUGGAAGGGAUCCUGCACGCGCCAGAAAACGGAUGGGCGAACGUGGUUUACGUGGUGAACUAUCCAAAAGUCCUCUGUGUUGAUCACAUUUCAGACAACAAAAGGAAAAUGGAAGAAAUCGAUGCUUCCUCUGUUGUGAAAAUGAAGAGGGGGGACAUGAAGACAUCUGAUCUGAUCGUACUGGGUCUUCCAUGGAAAACGAGUGAGCAGGACCUGAAGGACUACUUUGGCACAUUUGGAGAAGUCAUCAUGGUCCAGGUAAAACGAGAUGCCAAGACGGGAAACUCCAAAGGAUUUGGCUUUGUGAGAUUCACAGAGUAUGAGGCACAAGAAAAGGUGGUCACCCAGCGCCAUAUGAUUGACGGGAGAUGGUGUGACUGCAAGCUUCCUAACUCAAAGCAAGGUCCAGAUGAGCCUUUGAGGAGCCGGAAAGUGUUUGUAGGCCGUUGCACAGAAGACAUGACCACUGAAGACCUACGGCAGUUCUUUUUGCAGUAUGGGGAUGUCACAGAUGUCUUCAUCCCAAAGCCAUUCCGGGCUUUUGCCUUUGUCACAUUUGCAGAUGAUCAGGUUGCCCAGGCUCUUUGUGGAGAGGACCUUAUUGUCAAAGGUGUCAGUGUUCACAUCUCAAAUGCUGAGCCCAAACAUGGCAAUAGGCAGUUUGAUCGUACAACACGAUUUGGGAACGGUUUUGGAGCUCAAGCAUUUGGUAGCAGCCGUAGUGGGUUAGGGAGCAGCACUAACAGUAGUAUGGCUAAUUUUGGUAACUUCAGUCUGAACCCUGCUAUGAUGGCAGCUGCUCAGGCUGCCCUGCAGAGUAGUUGGGGGAUGAUGGGUAUGCUGGCUAGCCAGCAGCAGACAUCCACCUCAGGCAGCGCUUCCAGUGGAGCAAGUUCUAGUCGGGACCAGAGUCAGUCCUUCAGUGCAGGCAACAGCAACUACGGCGCCAACUCAGCCAGCCUUGGAUGGGGGACAGGGUCAAACUCAGCAACCAGCGGUAGUGGGUUUAGUUCAGGGUUUGGGUCCAGUAUGGAGUCAAAGUCAUCCGGGUGGGGUAUGUAAGUUAUAAUAUUUGUAUGGUAAGUAUUGUGACAAAGAUGAGUUUUUUCCCAAAUUAAUUUCUGGUGUUGAUGUGUAUCUGAAAACCUAACACUUUUGUGGACGAUGUUUUGUACAUUUGGAUAAACUGCGAAAGAUUUAAUUUAGAAAGUGUUGAAGUGAAUCGUUUACCAGGAUGUCUGACUAAAGUGCUAUUUUUGAUGUCACAUUUGUUUGUAUCCAUUUCAACUAGAUUCUCUCAUGCAUGUAUUGUGAUAUAUGACAACCAUUUUGAAAAAGCAUGAAUGUUUGUGGGUCACCAUUAUCCGGCUUUGUCAUCAACUUAAAAGGCAAUCUUGCAUUGGGAAGAAUCUGGUUGAAAUCUAAUUGUUUUUAAGUGCAACUUUAUUUACAGUCAAGUUCUGUGGAAACGCCUUCAUUGAAAUCUCUUCUGCAGUUCACCUCUCUUCCAUUUUCCUGCGAGGAAGCUCCUCUUUGGCAGCAUUCUCGGGGUGAUAUCGGUAUCAUUCUCCCUCUUCCCACCUGUCAAUGCAAUGUCAUCAAAGAACGGCUUCACUCCGCAUGUUCUCAGAGACGGGACCUUGGGCUCCGCUGGUCGAGGUCUCCGUUUGAACCCUGACUGAAGGAUGAAGACGGAAGUUCCAAAACUUUAGUGCGUGGCCUUCUCAGACAUGACAUGGGGUAGUACCUGUCUUUUUGCUGCUUGUUAAUAGCUUGUCUACGUUAACGAUCCUUUCUGAUGAUCCACAGCUACUUUUGAAGUUGAGGAACUUCAUGGGGGAUUCUUUGUAUGCAGCUGAGCUCAACAAUGUGUCUUCAGUUUGGCUCGAGUAACAACUACCGACACAUUGCUGAGCUUUGUAAUUGUUCAUUUUUGGAUGACCGUAUUCCCUAGUGCACCUUUAGAAUAUAUUGCAAACAAAUACCACAGUCCUGUCGUUUAUACAUUCAAGGAGUUUAACAUUCCUUUUUUUUAAAACAUUGUGGCAAAUGUGCAAUGAAUAUUGUGUUUUAAGUCAUUAAUGGUGCUGUACUGUACUACAUUAUGUUGGGAUGUUUCUAAUUUAUGGUUCUCCCUAUGAUACGAGGGGGGCAGAAUAUUAGAGACAACUGAAUAUACUGCAGACCAGUAGAACGGCGACACUGGAGGUCAACGGUUAAGGAAGUAUCAACAAAAAUAAAUUGGAAGUGUAAAAUGUGUA